CUCGGAUCAGGUAGGGAUACCCGCUGAACUUAAGCAUAUCAAUAAGCGGAGGAAAC
This 56-nucleotide ribosomal RNA is filed under the name Hypoderma rubi. RNAcentral's name for it is "partial 28S ribosomal RNA". The record is from RNAcentral. Lineage: Eukaryota; Fungi; Ascomycota; Leotiomycetes; Rhytismatales; Rhytismataceae.